Molecule: long non-coding RNA, 1065 nt
Organism: Nyctereutes procyonoides (raccoon dog)
Lineage: Eukaryota; Metazoa; Chordata; Mammalia; Carnivora; Canidae
Exons: 2
Source: RefSeq, a predicted model, not a curated record
UGCUCCUCCACGAUCACCCCCAAAUUGUGUGGGAGUGUGUUGGGUCCCCGUGGCUGCUACUAAUUGGCCGAAUAGAGUUACGCGGACCAAUAAAAAAAGGAAAUUUGCCGGCCAACGGAAAGGGAGAAGCAGGAUUUUAUUUAUUUAUUCGUGAGAGACACACACAGAGAGAGAGGCAGAGACACAGGCGGAAGGAGAAGCAGGCUCCAUGCAGGGAGCUCAACGUGGAACUGGAGCUCGACGUGGGACUGGAACCCGACAUGGGACUCGAUCCCGGGUCUCCAGGAUCAGGCCCUGGGCCGAAGGCGGCACUAAACCGCUAAGCCACCGGGGUGCCCUUUUUUAAAGUAAUAUCUAUACCCAACAUGGCUCAAACUCACAACCCCGAGAUCAAGAGUCACAUGCUCUACUGACUGAGUCAGCCAGGCUCCUCUUACUUAUUAAUUUUAACAUCUAUCAAUAAGUCAUGCCUGCAACAAUUAUUACUGUGCAAUUUGCUUAAUGAUGAUUUUCUAUUUCUAUCAUUCCUUCUAUAUUUACUUAUUAGAAUCCUACAGUAAGGAAGAGAUGUCUCUUCUCCCCCAUUUACUUAUUUAUAUUAGAAUAGACUCAUGAAAAUUUAUUUUAUUUAUAGGUAAUUAUUAGUAUCUGUCGUGUAAUUUUUUGUGUCAACUUGACUAGAUCAAGGAAUGCUGAUAUUUGGUUAAGUGAUAUUUUGGGGUGUAUCUGUGGGGGUGUUCCUGGAUGAAAUGGACAUUUCAUCAAUCAGUGGACUUUGAAGUGGUUAGCUGUCCCAAAUGCGAGUGGGCAUCAUCCAAUCCAUUGGGGGUCUGAAGAGAACAAAAAGUUGUAGGGGAGGGGGAAGAAUUUGCCCCUUCCUGCCUGAUUGCUUGAGGUGGACAUCAAUCUUCUGCUCUUAGUGCUUCUGGUUCUCAGGUUUUCCGACUCUGAUGGAAUUAUACCACGGCUCUCCUGGAUCUCCAGCAUGCACAUGGCAGACUGUGGGACUUUAUGGUCUCCAUAAUUGCAUAAGCCAAUUCUUGUUAAUAAAUCUCUUCACAUAUA